RNAcentral lists this ribosomal RNA (285 nucleotides) under Klebsiella pneumoniae. RNAcentral's name for it is "partial 16S ribosomal RNA". It matches the Rfam family "Bacterial small subunit ribosomal RNA", at positions 357 to 632 of the family's 1533-position model. The record is from RNAcentral. Lineage: Bacteria; Pseudomonadati; Pseudomonadota; Gammaproteobacteria; Enterobacterales; Enterobacteriaceae.
GGGAAUUUUUCACAAUGGACGAAAGUCUGAUGGAGCAAUGCCGCGUGAACGAUGAAGGUCUUCUUAGAUUGUAAAGUUCUUUUAUUUGGGAAGAACAGUUAGUAGAGUGGAAAACUAUUAAUUUGACUGUACCAUUUGAAUAAGUAACGACUAACUAUGUGCCAGCAGUCGCGGUAAUACAUAGGUUGCAAGCGUUAUCCGGAUUUAUUGGGCGUAAAACAAGCGCAGGCGGAUUAGAAAGUCUGGUGUUAAAAGCAAUUGCUUAACGAUUGUAUGCAUUGGAAA